Molecule: transfer RNA, 85 nt
Filed under: Collinsella stercoris
Lineage: Bacteria; Bacillati; Actinomycetota; Coriobacteriia; Coriobacteriales; Coriobacteriaceae
Also listed under: 14 other names
Description: tRNA-Leu
Rfam family: tRNA
About the family: Transfer RNA (tRNA) molecules are approximately 80 nucleotides in length. Their secondary structure includes four short double-helical elements and three loops (D, anti-codon, and T loops). Further hydrogen bonds mediate the characteristic L-shaped molecular structure. tRNAs have two regions of fundamental functional importance: the anti-codon, which is responsible for specific mRNA codon recognition, and the 3' end, to which the tRNAs corresponding amino acid is attached (by aminoacyl-tRNA synthetases). tRNAs cope with the degeneracy of the genetic code in two manners: having more than one tRNA (with a specific anti-codon) for a particular amino acid; and 'wobble' base-pairing, i.e. permitting non-standard base-pairing at the 3rd anti-codon position.
Source: RNAcentral
GGGGGCGUGGCGGAAUUGGCAUACGCAGGAGACUUAAAAUCUUCGGCCUUCGGGAUUGUGGGUUCGAGUCCCACCGCCCCUACCA